This is a non-coding RNA of Mycena galericulata, 93 nucleotides long. Lineage: Eukaryota; Fungi; Basidiomycota; Agaricomycetes; Agaricales; Mycenaceae. The record is from the annotation of a GenBank genome assembly.
GGCGUCAUAGCUCAGUUGGGAGAGCAGCAGACUGAAGUUUCAUCCUCCCGGUUCUUUAUCUGAAGGUCCCGUGUUCAAGCCACGGUGAUGCCA